RNAcentral lists this long non-coding RNA (1634 nucleotides) under Nicotiana tabacum (common tobacco). RNAcentral's name for it is "long non-coding RNA (NTAB_LNC017281)". The record is from RNAcentral. Lineage: Eukaryota; Viridiplantae; Streptophyta; Magnoliopsida; Solanales; Solanaceae.
AAAUAAAAUUUUCCUAGUUAAAAGACAUUCCAAAAAUCUAGGGCACAAACACGCCCAUUUUCUCUCCUCUCUAUCAGAUUCUCACUUGCUAUCCUCUUCAACAAUGUUAGUUUUUUCUUCAAAUACAAUAAAUUGGGUGUGAAUCUAAGGCUCAUGUGCAAUGGGAAACAAAAAUAUCAGAUAGGGAAUAGGGAAUAGAAGAAAACUUUCAAAAUGUUUGAUGUAGAAUUCUGAAAUUGCCAAGAAAUUUGAAGUAGUGUACGUUCCCGGCCCUCGCUCUUCCCUUGAUGUUUGCUGCUCCGUAAGAUUCUCAAAUGAAAGCCCUCAUUUUAAUUAUUUUUUUAUUUUGUCUACACCAUUUUCUUAUCUUUGGUCAGGUAAAGUUUCUCUUUUUUUUCUCUUUAUAUAAUUAUGUUGAGAAAUUUUUGAUAUGGUAAUUUUUGUUUGACUGAUACCUUGAUUUUAGGGAUUGUAUUUCCUUGUAGCAAUGAGAGUUGGAUUAAAACUUUUCAAGUUAUAGAGAACCCCUAAUUUUCUUCAAAAGAUGAAUCGUUUUGUACUGAUGAAUGAGUCUCAAUAGAGCAGAAUGAUGUGAAUGAUUCAUAUAGGUCCCAUACUAGUUUGGAAUUAAUGAAUAGUUAAUUUCCUGUAUGAAGUUUUUCUAGUUCUAAUUUCUGUUAGCAAGUAUUUCCAAGUUGUUUCGGAAAGCAUUAUGGGAAUUAAGAAGGAUUAAGCUUUUUGUAUAACUCUAUUUAAAAUGGAUCUUUUUCAUAGUUUAGGGGUUCAUGGUUGAUUGGAAGACUUAAGAAAACUUUGCCUUAAUUAGUUUUGAGGGAUAAUCAUGUGUUGUAUAUCAGGAGAUAUAAAAGUUUGUAUACACAAAUAUCUAAUAGGCGUUGAGCAUCUUGAUAGUAAUUCUUCUCCAUUAGGUAGUUAAAAUGUUAGAUAAUUAAUCAACAAUCAGAACAAUGUCAUCAGUAGUCAGUUGCGUAGUUACCAUUCAGAUUUGUUUUGAUGUGUUGCUGUGGCAUAUUUGGUUGCUGUUGACAGAGGUGCAAAUCUUUGUUUGAGAUUUUUUUAUUACGAAUUUACCCAUUCAUGCUUCAAUGGCUUGCUGAUACAUAUUUACUCGAGUCUCUUUCAAGUUUGAUUUUGUAUAUGAAAUUAAUAUAUAUUAUCUCAUAAACAUGAAGAGAUUGAAUGCAGUUUUUUUGGAUCUUCCUUCAAAAUUUUGCAGUGGAUGUGAAGGAUUCGCACUUUCAUGUUUUUUGCUGGCUAUCUCGACGGUAUUUCUACAAUGAGUACUAGCUAUGUGAGCUGCUUUCUUUCUAAAGUUCACUGGAAAUUAAUUAGGUGGUAACUUGUGAAGAACUUAUGAUAAUGUGGAAGGAAGAAUACCUAAUUAAUGUAGAUCUAAAUAAAAAUAUGAAGAGUUACUAUAAUUUGCUUAUUUUUUAGGUGAAUGAAGGGUGUAUGCGUUACUCUAAGAAUACUGAGCAAUAUUUUGAGUCUGUAGAUCUAUAGUCUUAGUUUGCCUUUUAAAUUUCUUCCAUUCUCGUUUGUACCUAAUCUAAAUGAUACAGUUUUUAGUUAAAAACGGUAUGAUUUGAAACUUUAAAGUUUACUUUUUUUAA